This 482-nucleotide ribosomal RNA is filed under the name uncultured bacterium. RNAcentral describes it as "partial 16S ribosomal RNA". It matches the Rfam family "Bacterial small subunit ribosomal RNA", at positions 30 to 507 of the family's 1533-position model. The record is from RNAcentral.
AUUGAACGCUGGCGGCAUGCCUUACACAUGCAAGUCGAACGGUGACAGGUCUUCGGAUGCUGACGAGUGGCGAACGGGUGAGUAAUACAUCGGAACGUGCCCGAUCGUGGGGGAUAACGAAGCGAAAGCUUUGCUAAUACCGCAUACGAUCUACGGAUGAAAGCGGGGGAUCUUCGGACCUCGCGCGGACGGAGCGGCCGAUGGCAGAUUAGGUAGUUGGUGGGAUAAAAGCUUACCAAGCCGACGAUCUGUAGCUGGUCUGAGAGGAUGAUCAGCCACACUGGGACUGAGACACGGCCCAGACUCCUACGGGAGGCAGCAGUGGGGAAUUUUGGACAAUGGGCGCAAGCCUGAUCCAGCCAUGCCGCGUGCAGGAUGAAGGCCUUCGGGUUGUAAACUGCUUUUGUACGGAACGAAAAGGUGCCUUCUAAUAAAGGGCGCUCAUGACGGUACCGUAAGAAUAAGCACCGGCUAACUACGUG